RNAcentral lists this non-coding RNA (26 nucleotides) under Cricetulus griseus (Chinese hamster). Lineage: Eukaryota; Metazoa; Chordata; Mammalia; Rodentia; Cricetidae. The record is from RNAcentral.
UACUUAUAGGGAUUUUCAUUUUGUAG